This 430-nucleotide ribosomal RNA is filed under the name bacterium. RNAcentral's name for it is "partial 16S ribosomal RNA". It matches the Rfam family "Bacterial small subunit ribosomal RNA", at positions 355 to 777 of the family's 1533-position model. The record is from RNAcentral.
UAGGGAAUCUUCGGCAAUGGGGGCAACCCUAACCGAGCAACGCCGCGUGAGUGAAGAAGGUUUUCGGAUCGUAAAGCUCUGUUGUAAGAGAAGAACGUGUGUGAGAGUGGAAAGUUCACACAGUGACGGUAACUUACCAGAAAGGGACGGCUAACUACGUGCCAGCAGCCGCGGUAAUACGUAGGUCCCGAGCGUUGUCCGGAUUUAUUGGGCGUAAAGCGAGCGCAGGCGGUUUAAUAAGUCUGAAGUUAAAGGCAGUGGCUUAACCAUUGUUCGCUUUGGAAACUGUUAAACUUGAGUGCAGAAGGGGAGAGUGGAAUUCCAUGUGUAGCGGUGAAAUGCGUAGAUAUAUGGAGGAACACCGGUGGCGAAAGCGGCUCUCUGGUCUGUAACUGACGCUGAGGCUCGAAAGCGUGGGGAGCAAACAGGA